This 245-nucleotide unclassified non-coding RNA is filed under the name plant metagenome. RNAcentral's name for it is "partial contains small subunit ribosomal RNA, internal transcribed spacer 1, and 5.8S ribosomal RNA". The stretch from base 197 to 245 matches the Rfam family "5.8S ribosomal RNA", at positions 1 to 49 of the family's 154-position model. The record is from RNAcentral.
UCUCCGUUGGUGAACCAGCGGAGGGAUCAUUACAGGACUCGCAAGACUCCUACAACCCUGUGAACUUAACUAUAAGCACGUUGCUUCGGCGGGUGUCUCGGAGGGGGUUCUCCCUCCCCGAGACGCUAAACCCGCCGGCAGCCUACUAUACUCUGUCUCUUUGCGUUGGCAUCUCGAGUACAAUCAAACAAGUUAAAACUUUCAACAACGGAUCUCUUGGUUCUGGCAUCGAUAAAGAACGCAGC